RNAcentral lists this ribosomal RNA (305 nucleotides) under uncultured bacterium. RNAcentral describes it as "bacterial SSU rRNA". It matches the Rfam family "Bacterial small subunit ribosomal RNA", at positions 28 to 332 of the family's 1533-position model. The record is from RNAcentral.
GACGAACGCUGGCGGCGUGCUUAACACAUGCAAGUCGAGCGGUGAACCACUUCGGUGGGGAUCAGCGGCGAACGGGUGAGUAACACGUGGGCAACCUGCCCCUACGCUCUGGGAGUAACCCCGGGAAACCCGGGGCGUAAUACCGGAUAUGACCUCGAGCGGCAUCACUCGAGGUGGAAAGAUUUAUUGGUCUAGGGAUGGGCCCGCGGCCUAUCAGCUUGUUGGUGGGGUAACGGCCUACCAAGGCGACGACGGGUAGCCGGCCUGAGAGGCGACCGGCCACCACUGGGACUGAGACACGGCCC